GAUGAACGCUGGCGGCGUGCCUAAUACAUGCAAGUCGAGCGAACAGACGAGGAGCUUGCUCCUCUGACGUUAGCGGCGGACGGGUGAGUAACACGUGGAUAACCUGCCUAUAAGACUGGGAUAACUUCGGGAAACCGGAGCUAAUACCGGAUAAUAUAUUGAACCGCAUGGUUCAAUAGUGAAAGACGGUUUUGCUGUCACUUAUAGAUGGAUCCGCGCCGCAUUAGCUAGUUGGUAAGGUAACGGCUUACCAAGGCAACGAUGCGUAGCCGACCUGAGAGGGUGAUCGGCCACACUGGAACUGAGACACGGUCCAGACUCCUACGGGAGGCAGCAGUAGGGAAUCUUCCGCAAAGGGCGAAAGCCUGACGGAGCAACGCCGCGUGAGUGAUGAAGGUCUUCGGAUCGUAAAACUCUGUUAUUAGGGAAGAACAAAUGUGUAAGUAACUAUGCACGUCUUGACGGUACCUAAUCAGAAAGCCACGGCUAACUACGUG
This 497-nucleotide ribosomal RNA is filed under the name uncultured bacterium. RNAcentral's name for it is "partial 16S ribosomal RNA". It matches the Rfam family "Bacterial small subunit ribosomal RNA", at positions 28 to 507 of the family's 1533-position model. The record is from RNAcentral.